CGUGUAGGCGGCUGGCUAAGUCUGGUGUGAAAGCCCGGGGCUCACCCCCGGAAGUGCGCUGGAAACUAGUCAGCUAGAGUAUGGGAGAGGGAAGUGGAAUUCCUGGUGUAGCGGUGAAAUGCGUAGAUAUCAGGAGGAACACCGGCGGCGAAGGCGGCUUCCUGGACCAAUUCUGACGCUGAGACGCGAAAGCGUGGGGAGCAAACAGGAUUAGAUACCCGAGUAGUCC
Molecule: ribosomal RNA, 229 nt
Filed under: uncultured bacterium
Lineage: Bacteria
Description: partial 16S ribosomal RNA
Rfam family: Bacterial small subunit ribosomal RNA
Source: RNAcentral